Danio rerio (zebrafish) is the source of this 113-nucleotide non-coding RNA. Lineage: Eukaryota; Metazoa; Chordata; Actinopteri; Cypriniformes; Danionidae. The record is from Rfam.
UACCACAAGCAUAUCACCCUGGAGCCCAAGACUGGUUACUCACUGAAGCUAAGCAGGGUUGAGCCUGGCCAGUACCUGGAUGGGAUACCACGUAAACCAGGUUGCUGUUGAAA